CCCUUAGAUGUUCUGGGCCGCACGCGCGCUACACUGAUGCAUUCAACGAGUUCCUACCUUGGCCGAGAGGCCUGGGCAAUCUUUUGAACUUGCAUCGUGAUAGGGAUAGAUUAUUGCAAUUAUUAAUCUUGAACGAGGAGUUCCUAGUAAACGCAGAUCAUCAAUCUGCAUUGAUUACGUCCCUGCCCUUUGUACACACCGCCCGUCGCACCUACCGAUUGAAUGGUCCGGUGAAGCCUCGGGAUUGUGGUUAGUUUCCUUCAUUGGAAGUUAGCCGCGAGAACUUGUCUAAACCUUAUCAUUUAGAGGAAGGUGAAGUCGUAACA
Molecule: ribosomal RNA, 326 nt
Filed under: uncultured eukaryote
Lineage: Eukaryota
Description: partial 18S ribosomal RNA
Rfam family: Eukaryotic small subunit ribosomal RNA
Source: RNAcentral